This 253-nucleotide ribosomal RNA is filed under the name uncultured bacterium. Its description in RNAcentral is "partial 16S ribosomal RNA". It matches the Rfam family "Bacterial small subunit ribosomal RNA", at positions 524 to 776 of the family's 1533-position model. The record is from RNAcentral.
GACGAAGGGGGCUAGCGUUGUUCGGAAUCACUGGGCGUAAAGGGCGUGUAGGCGGUUUCGUAUGUCUGGCGUGAAAGCCCCGGGCUCAACCCGGGAAGUGCGUUGGAAACUGCGAAACUAGAGUCUCGGAGAGGAAGGUGGAAUUCCAGGUGUAGCGGUGAAAUGCGUAGAUAUCUGGAAGAACACCGGUGGCGAAGGCGGCCUUCUGGACGAUGACUGACGCUGAGACGCGAAAGCGUGGGGAGCAAACAGG